GAUGAAGAACGUAGCGAAAUGCGAUAAGUAAUGUGAAUUGCAGAAUUCAGUGAAUCAUCGAAUCUUUGAACGCACAUUGCGCCCCCUGGUAUUCCGGGGGGCAUGCCUGUUCGAGCGUCAUUUCACCACUCAAGCCUCGCUUGGUAUUGGGCAUCGCGGUCCGCCGCGCGCCUCAAAUCGACCGGCUGGGUCUUCUGUCCCCUAAGCGUUGUGGAAACUAUUCGCUAAAGGGUGUUCGGGAGGCUACGCCGUAAAACAACCCCAUUUCUAUGGUUGACCUCGGAUCAGGUAGGGAUACCCGCUGAACUUAAGCAUAUCAAUAAGCGGAGGA
RNAcentral lists this unclassified non-coding RNA (331 nucleotides) under soil metagenome. RNAcentral's name for it is "partial contains 5.8S ribosomal RNA, internal transcribed spacer 2, and large subunit ribosomal RNA". The stretch from base 1 to 120 matches the Rfam family "5.8S ribosomal RNA", at positions 35 to 154 of the family's 154-position model. The record is from RNAcentral.